AGUCUGAUGUUUAUAGCUUUGGAGUACUACUCCUAGAGAUUGUGAGUGGCCGAAGGAAUACUAGCUUCCGUCAAACAGAACGCAUGAUCCUCAUUGCUUAUGUAAGUACAUGCAAAAUGUCACCAAUUUAGGCUCUGGUUUGAGAUACAACACAACGUUUUUUACUGCUAUUUUUUCACUCACCUGAUCCAAUUUCCGACUGAUUGCAGGCAUGGGAUCUUUGGAAUGAAGGUAAGACAAUGGAGAUAGUUGAUCCUUCCAUCCGAGAUUCAUGUGAUGAAAACGAAGUGCUGAGAUGCAUACAAAUCGGCAUGUUGUGUGUGCAAGAUUCUGCACUUCAUAGACCAAGCAUGGCAUCAGUUGUGGUAAUGCUGGAGAGCUGCACAACAAACAUUCCAUUGCCUAGACAACCAAAUUUCACUUCUGUCAGGGCCUCUAUAGACCCUGAAAUUUCUCUGGAAGUGCAUGAAGUAGCAUUGUCAAGCUAAUAACACUCACAAAACACACUUCGACGUAGCAUAUCAUUGCUGUAAUUUUCUGGUACAAAACUCACACAAGGAAGGGCUUACAAUGGAGGAAGACACACACAAACUGCUGCUGUUUCUUCUUCUCUGUUACUUCCCCGGUUUCUGCUCACUUUCGACUGCUACCCACUGCCCUUCUCUCAAUAAUUUCAGCUCCAUGUAACCUACCACUUGGAAAAAAUAAUACACUUAACACACAUUCAACUCUAGCUAACAUUAAGCUAACUCUAGCCAACUAGCCUUACAGCACAGUAACAUUAACAGUUGGUCCUGUCGGAAAAAAAGAGAUGAUAUUUGUAUAGGUAUUUUGUCAAUCAAUUUCUUACAUAAACAAAAACAAUUUUUUGUGGUCUAUAAAUUGAUCCUAUUGUUUGUUUUAAUUUAACCUUUUAAUGUGCUCUAAGGAGAAAAUUCAGCGUUAACCAUUGAGGUAGUGGAUUGAGAGCAGACUCAUCACAGGUUUAGGCCAAGAGCUCUUUCACAAGCAGAAACUGUUCCCAAUCAUCUGUGCAAACCAGCCACCAUUGUUUACCACAAUUUAAUUGUAAAAUGAGACUUCAAUGCUUGUUGCAAGCUAAGGAAGAAAUGUAAUGUGGAUGUACCAUGAGUGACACAUGCUUAAAAACUGCAUAUCCUGUCGAUAAUCACCACCUGUAAGUAUAAAACGAUUACUAUUAUAAGUUGAUAAGUGUCACGACCCGAAUCCCGGAUCCAUGACCGACACAUAGGCAAGGUUCCCCUCAAAGGUUCCAUACCUAUGCGAACCCAAACUUACACACAAACUUAUCCUAACUCAAUCAGAGUUCAACGCAGCAUUAAUAACAAAAUCAACUUCAUAAUAUAAUUGAAUUGUCUUAAUACAAGAGUUAAUAUAAUGCAGAGUUUUGGAGCACUAACUUGACAUUAAAGGAAGGUACAAAUUACAACCAAAAAGCAGGUUCGGAAGGUUCAACAAAAUGACCUGCUAUCAAGCUAUAAGCCUGAAAAGGAUAAAUAAUGAGAUGGUGAGUUCAACAACUCAGUGAGUAGAUAACGUUCAAUAUACACACACGAGGUAAUAAAACAAUGAGAAAUAUAUAUACAAGUAUGGCUUUAGGUUCUUAUGGAAAUGUUUCUCAAAUUGACCAUAACAAGAAUGUCAUAUGGUAAAACUCGUCAGAAAAUCAAAUGCAAUGAGCAUGAGGCUCCGUACUGUGGGAUGAUCAGUCCACACAGGUUGGUGACUCCCUCGACCAACUAGGGUUCAGAUACAAUGUGCACAAAGACUAACACUACCCUGUUAGCAUGGGUAUUCUGACUGACAUACCAUAGGUUCAUAAUCAUAAUCUAACAAACAUAUUCAUAUCUCAAAGCUCAACUCAUGACAUCAAUAAAAUGAAGAGCUAUCAAUUCAGAGGUCAAUUCAAAAUAUAUGUUGGUUCAUAUCAAGAAUUCAGAUUCAAUAAUUGAUCAUGCUUUAUCAUAACAAGGAUAAUAAUCAACAUAUAUAUUAUUAAGAAGCAUGAUUCAAUUCAUAUUAACAAAUCAAAUAUUUAUACUAUUUCUCAUGCAUAUGGAAAAUUAUCCACUCAUCUGACUCGAAAGCAACAAAACUCAAAGCUGAUAUCGAAGGAAAUCCUACUGACGUCCCGCCGGUAGAAUAUCAGGAUUAUCUGAAUACAAAUGAGACAUGUUCAAGAAUGACUCAAAAAAACAUAUAACCUAUUUAAUACACUUAUCUAAGGGUGUAUUCCAUAACCCUAUAUGUUUUUGAACUAACUAGUCAAUUUUCUCAAAAACCCAAAAUUUAACGGUUUUCCCGAAAUCUAAUCCAUAAUAAAACAACUAAUAAAAUUGAUAAUAAUUCACUAAAUAACCCUCAAUUAUUCAUCAAAUCAAUCUGCAAAAAUUAAUAUUACAGCUAGGGACUAAUCUGUAAUUUAUCCUAUUUUUAAGGGUCAAAUUGCAACUUUUGUCAAAUUGAAGGACCAAACUGAAAUUUGUCAUAAAUCCAUUACUAUACUGAAUUUCUGACCAUAAUUAGUCCUCAUUUCUGUCCAGAUCAUCUCAUUAUACUCCAAGGACCAUUCUGGAAUUUUACCAAAUUUUUAGGGUCAAAUUGUAAUUUUUGUCAAAUUGGAGGACUAAAUUGAAAGUGUUAAAAUUUCAUAACUAUACUAGAAUUCUGCCCUUAAUUCAUAUAUUAUUCUGUUCAGAAUCUCGGAAUAGGCUCCAGGGACCAAUCUGUAAAUUUUCCAAAGUUUGGGGACUAAAAUGUAAUUUUCCAAAAUUGAGGGACCAAACCGAAAUUGUCAUCUUCAACCUCAAACCCAGAAUUCUCACAGAUUACCUACUGUUCUUGCCAAAUUUCUAACUCAACAUUCACCAUUUACACAAUUCAUAACUCAAAAUCAUCACAAUCUUCCAUAAUCAACUCAUUAAUCAAUUACCCAUAACAAUCAACCUUAUAACAUUCAAUUUAAUUCAUCAAUUAACCCAAAACACAAAUUUUCAAAACCCUAACAUUCAUCAAAACUGAAAUUAAAGCUUAAUUAACACAUAUUUAUACAUAAUCUUACCUUUAAACUUAUUUUCUUCAACUCCUUUCUAUUUCCCUUCUAAUUUCCCUCUUUUCUCUUCUUCUUCUUCUUUCUCCCUUCUCUCUCACGGUUUGCUCUCUCAAAUAUUCAGAUCUCCUUUUUUUUUUCUUCUUUCUAUUUAUAUUUAUCAUCUCUUUAUUCAAUUACUACUAUACCCCUCAUUCAUUUAUUCCAAC
Molecule: long non-coding RNA, 3279 nt
Filed under: Populus trichocarpa (black cottonwood)
Lineage: Eukaryota; Viridiplantae; Streptophyta; Magnoliopsida; Malpighiales; Salicaceae
Description: long non-coding RNA (PTRI_LNC001118)
Source: RNAcentral